UUUUAAAAACAUAGCCACUAGCUGAUACUGUGUGGUUCAACCUGCCCAAUGUUUUAAUAAAUGGCCGCGGUAUCCUGACCGUGCUAAGGUAGCGUAAUCAGUUGACUUUUAAAUGAAGUCAGGAAUGAAUGGGAAAACCGGGUUUAGCUGUCUUAAAAUUACUAUGCCGAAUUUACUUUUUAAGUGAAAAAGCUUAAAUUAAGAAAAGGGACGAGAAGACCCUUAGAAUUUUUUUUAAGAUAAAUUAUUAUUUUUUAUUAUUUUAUUGGGGCGAUAAAGAAAUAUUAAAAACUUUCUGUUAAAAACAAGCCGAUUAUACUAAGAAAGAAUAAAUUACCUGAGGGAUAACAGCAUAAUCUUAUAAUUAGGUUUGUGACCUCGAUGUUGGACUAGGAAACUAAUAGGCUAGCCGUUUAUUAUGUUAGGUUCUGUUCGAACUUUUAUUCCUACGUGAUCUGA
Molecule: ribosomal RNA, 459 nt
Filed under: Bulbaeolidia sulphurea
Lineage: Eukaryota; Metazoa; Mollusca; Gastropoda; Nudibranchia; Aeolidiidae
Description: partial 16S ribosomal RNA
Rfam family: Archaeal large subunit ribosomal RNA
Source: RNAcentral